AACUUUUAGCAAUGGAUCACUUGGUUCUGGCAUCGAUGAAGAACGCAGCGAAAUGCGAUAAGUAAUGUGAAUUGCAGAAUUCAGGAAUCAUCGAAUCUUUGAACGCACAUUGCGCCCCUUGGUAUUCCGAGGGGCAUGCCUGUUCGAGCGUCAUUACAACCCUCAAGCACAGCUUGGUAUUGGGCCCCGCUGCUAAUCCAGCGGGCCUUAAAAUCAGUGGCGGCGUCUUCAGGCUCUGAGCGUAGUAAAUAUCCUCGCUAUAGAGUCCUGCUGGCGGUGGUCAUCAACCCCCAACUUUCUAAGUUUGACCUCGGAUCAGGUAGGGAUACCCGCUGAACUUAAGCAUAUCAAUAAGCGGAGGAU
Molecule: unclassified non-coding RNA, 363 nt
Filed under: uncultured fungus
Lineage: Eukaryota; Fungi
Description: sequence contains ITS2
Rfam family: 5.8S ribosomal RNA (bases 1-153)
Source: RNAcentral